This 107-nucleotide small nuclear RNA is filed under the name Salvator merianae (Argentine black and white tegu). The record is from RNAcentral. Lineage: Eukaryota; Metazoa; Chordata; Lepidosauria; Squamata; Teiidae.
GUGCUCACUUUGGCAGCACAUAUAUUAAAAUUGGAAUGAUAUGGAGAAUAUUAGCAUGGCUCCUGCGCAAGGAUGACAUGCAAACGUGUGAAGCAUUCCCCAUAUAU